Small nucleolar RNA from Neltuma alba, 104 nucleotides. RefSeq annotates it as small nucleolar RNA snoR100. The record is from RefSeq and is a predicted model, not a curated record. NCBI's taxonomy places the organism in Eukaryota, Viridiplantae, Streptophyta, Magnoliopsida, Fabales, Fabaceae. The transcript has a single exon.
CAAUGAAGGAAGCAUGGUAGUGUGCACAGAAAUUGAAUUGUCUUGGGUCCACAUGUCUGCUCUCUCUGAUCCCUGAUUUGAGGGCCUGGUUGCGACCCACAUUC